GACGAACGCUGGCGGCGUGCUUAACACAUGCAAGUCGAACGCUGAAGGCCUGGCUUUUGUUGGGUUGGAUGAGUGGCGAACGGGUGAGUAACACGUGAGUAACCUGCCCUCUUCUUUGGGAUAACGCCCGGAAACGGGUGCUAAUACUGGAUAUUCACUGAUCUUCGCAUGGGGGUUGGUGGAAAGGUUUGUUCUGGUGGGGGAUGGGCUCGCGGCCUAUCAGCUUGUUGGUGGGGUGAUGGCCUACCAAGGCUUUGACGGGUAGCCGGCCUGAGAGGGUGCCCGGUCACAUUGGGACUGGGAUCCGGCCCAGACUCCUACGGGAGGCAGCAGUGGGGAAUAUAGCACAAUGGGCGAAAGCCUGAUGCCGCGACGCCGCGUGAGGGAUGGAGGCCUUCGGGUUGUAACCCUCUUUCGCUCAUGGGCAGGCCGCAACUGUGGGUUGUGGUGAGGGUAGUGGGUAAAGAAGCGCCGGCUAACUACGUG
RNAcentral lists this ribosomal RNA (486 nucleotides) under uncultured bacterium. RNAcentral's name for it is "partial 16S ribosomal RNA". It matches the Rfam family "Bacterial small subunit ribosomal RNA", at positions 28 to 507 of the family's 1533-position model. The record is from RNAcentral.